GUGGGGAAUAUUGCACAAUGGAGGAAACUCUGAUGCAGCGACGCCGCGUGAGUGAAGAAGUAAUUCGUUAUGUAAAGCUCUAUCAGCAGGGAAGAUAGUGACGGUACCUGACUAAGAAGCUCCGGCUAAAUACGUGCCAGCAGCCGCGGUAAUACGUAUGGAGCAAGCGUUAUCCGGAUUUACUGGGUGUAAAGGGAGUGUAGGUGGCCAUGCAAGUCAGAAGUGAAAAUCCGGGGCUCAACCCCGGAACUGCUUUUGAAACUGUAAGGCUAGAGUGCAGGAGGGGUGAGUGGAAUUCCUAGUGUAGCGGUGAAAUGCGUAGAUAUUAGGAGGAACACCAGUGGCGAAGGCGGCUCACUGGACUGUAACUGACACUGAGGCUCGAAAGCGUGGGGAGCAAACAGGA
Molecule: ribosomal RNA, 406 nt
Filed under: uncultured bacterium
Lineage: Bacteria
Description: bacterial SSU rRNA
Rfam family: Bacterial small subunit ribosomal RNA
Source: RNAcentral